GACGAACGCUGGCGGCGUGCUUAACACAUGCAAGUCGAACGGAAAGGCCCUGCUUUUGUGGGGUGCUCGAGUGGCGAACGGGUGAGUAACACGUGAGUAACCUGCCCUUGACUUUGGGAUAACUUCAGGAAACUGGGGCUAAUACCGGAUAGGAGCUCCUGCUGCAUGGUGGGGGUUGUAAAGUUUCGGCGUUUGGGGAUGGACGCGCGGCUUAUCAGCUUGUUGGUGGGGUAGUGGCUUACCAAGGCUUUGACGGGUAGCCGGCCUGAGAGGGUGACCGGCCACAUUGGGACUGAGAUACGGCCCAGACUCCUACGGGAGGCAGCAGUGGGGAAUAUUGCACAAUGGGCGGAGGCCUGAUGCAGCAACGCCGCGUGCGGGAUGACGGCCUUCGGGUUGUAAACCGCUUUCGCCUGUGACGAAGCGUGAGUGACGGUAAUGGGUAAAGAAGCACCGGCUAACUACGUG
This 468-nucleotide ribosomal RNA is filed under the name uncultured bacterium. RNAcentral's name for it is "partial 16S ribosomal RNA". It matches the Rfam family "Bacterial small subunit ribosomal RNA", at positions 28 to 507 of the family's 1533-position model. The record is from RNAcentral.